RNAcentral lists this long non-coding RNA (226 nucleotides) under Mytilus galloprovincialis (Mediterranean mussel). Lineage: Eukaryota; Metazoa; Mollusca; Bivalvia; Mytilida; Mytilidae. The record is from RNAcentral.
GGGGAUAUUUUUCUCGGUAUAAUCUGCACUUGUCUACCAAUAUUCGAUUUUGGUCAAAUUUAAAUGAAACAACAUCAUUCAAUGUCAUUUUGGGAACUGCUUUGUCCAGAAUUCAACAAGGCCUAUUCUUUUUUUUUUUUUUAAAUUAAAACAAACGUCGUUUGAGUCGAGUGUAUCUUCGUAGAUGUCAGCGCUUUGCUGGUAUAACUGUAACUUUCCUUUUUUA